This 236-nucleotide unclassified non-coding RNA is filed under the name uncultured Cistella. Its description in RNAcentral is "sequence contains ITS2". The record is from RNAcentral. Lineage: Eukaryota; Fungi; Ascomycota; Leotiomycetes; Helotiales; Hyaloscyphaceae.
AACGCACAUUGCGCCCCUUGGUAUUCCGGGGGGCAUGCCUGUUCGAGCGUCAUUAUAACCCUCAAGCCUAGCUUGGUGUUGGAGCAUGCUACCUAGCAGCUCUUAAAAUCAGUGGCAGUGCCCUUCGGCUCUAAGCGUAGUAACUUCUCUCGCUAUGGAAACCGGGUGGCAUGCGCCAAAACCCCCAACUUUCUAAGGUUGACCUCGGAUCAGGUAGGGAUACCCGCUGAACUUAA